Osmerus eperlanus (European smelt) is the source of this 321-nucleotide long non-coding RNA. RefSeq lists it as uncharacterized. The transcript has 3 exons. Lineage: Eukaryota; Metazoa; Chordata; Actinopteri; Osmeriformes; Osmeridae. The record is from RefSeq and is a predicted model, not a curated record.
GAGUUCAAAAAGCCACAAAAGUAUGGGGGAUGGGGAAUGGAUGUCCCGUUUGAGGAGGUUUGCCAGCUCUGGGGUUUUGCCUGCUGAUGCAGGCAACAGGCCAGCCCCAAGACAGAAGAGGUGGUAUGACCUCUUUCAAAAGAUUGAGAAGUGCCCGUUGCAGUUACGUGGCCAAAGAAUGCUGUUUGGUGGGACACAGCAGUGUACUUGUGGCUUUCAUAACCCAAAGCCAACCACUGGACAAACUGUGGCAGAGACCUCUACCUGUGCUGCCCCUCCCCCACUGGGAACAGCCUCUACCUCAGCCUCUGCCUCUGCCCC